Molecule: small nucleolar RNA, 488 nt
Filed under: Kluyveromyces lactis
Lineage: Eukaryota; Fungi; Ascomycota; Saccharomycetes; Saccharomycetales; Saccharomycetaceae
Description: Small nucleolar RNA snR37
Rfam family: Small nucleolar RNA snR37
Source: Rfam by way of RNAcentral
AUCAUCAGUAGUGGUUAGUACUAUCUCAAGAUAAUAUUAAUACACAUAUACACCAUAGAAACCUACGGUUUCGGUUAUCUCUUUUCUCAAGAAGUUUUUCCUAGGUUUCUUCGGAGAUCUAGGAACGGCUUUAGUUAAUACUGGAGAAGAGUGACUGUUACCAUUUUUUAACCCAUAGCUGAAUGGAUCCUGACUAGCCCCAAACAAGCUGGCCACAGUUUCCAUUUCGUUUCCGGUUUCUUAGAUCAAUAAAGUUGGAAGCGCAUUGAGUUGGGAGGGGAAGUCUCUUCCUUUUCCCGGUUUUUUGCAUCACUUCUUUCUUUUAACCAUUAUGAAGAGGUCUGGAAAGUGAUGAUUAGAAGCGGUUUAACAGCUCGCUCUAGUUGUUCUUCCAGGUGUUGCAUGUGAUCCAGAGGGCUUUGCGUAAUGGCUGCCUGAGAGUUUGGAUUUUCACUCUCCGUUGUGCCCUUCUUCAUGAUGGAACAGUU